UCUGGGAUCAUAUCCAUUAGUCUGGUCUGGGAUCAUAUCUGAAUAUCCAUUAGUCUGGUCUGGAGGUCAGCUGUCUGGGAUCAUAUCUGAAUAUCCAUGCCUUGAUGACAAUACUACCAAACACUAUGGUAGAACAUAACUCAACACUACGGUAGAACAUAACUCAACACUACGGUAGAACAUAACUCAAUACUACCAAACACUAUGGUAGAACAUAACUCACUACUACGGUAGAACAUAACUCACUACUACCAAACACUAUGGUAGAACAUAACUCAACACUACGGUAGAACAUAACUCAAUACUACCAAACACUACGGUAGAACAUAACUCACUACUACCAAACACUACGGUAGAACAUAACUCAACACUACGGUAGAACAUAACUCACUACUACCAAACACUAUGGUAGAACAUAACUCAACACUACGGUAGAACAUAACUCACUACUACCAAACACUAUGGUAGAACAUAACUCAACACUACCAAACACUAUGGUAGAACAUAACUCAACACUACGGUAGAACAUAACUCACUACUACCAAACACUACGGUAGAACAUAACUCACUACCACCAAACACUAUGGUAGAACAUAACUCAACACUACCAAACACUAUGGUAGAACAUAACUCAAUACUACCAAACACUAUGGUAGAACUCAACACUACGGUAGAACAUAACUCAACACUACCAAACACUACGGUAGAACAUAACUCAACACUACCAAACACUAUGGUAGAACAUAACUCAACACUACGGUAGAACAUAACUCGGGGACACUGAACACACACCGUAACCUGUUGGCCCCUGGGAGGAGAUGAAAUAAAA
RNAcentral lists this long non-coding RNA (829 nucleotides) under Salmo salar (Atlantic salmon). Its description in RNAcentral is "lncRNA (ENSSSAG00000119086.1)". Lineage: Eukaryota; Metazoa; Chordata; Actinopteri; Salmoniformes; Salmonidae. The record is from RNAcentral.